Molecule: ribosomal RNA, 339 nt
Filed under: uncultured bacterium
Lineage: Bacteria
Description: bacterial SSU rRNA
Rfam family: Bacterial small subunit ribosomal RNA
Source: RNAcentral
AAUCAACGCUGGCGGCGUGCCUCAGACAUGCAAGUCGAACGAUUAAACUUUCCUUCGGGAAAGAUAUAAAGUGGCGCACGGGUGAGUAACACGUAGAUAAUGUACCUUUGGGUGGGGAAUAACAGUCGGAAACGACUGCUAAUACCGCAUAAUGCAGCGGCAUCGCAAGAUGACAAUUGUUAAAGCGAGCAAUCGCGCCUAAAGAGCAGUCUGCGGCAGAUUAGGUAGUUGGUAAGGUAAUGGCUUACCAAGCCUGCGAUCUGUAACCGACCUGAGAGGGUGGUCGGUCACACUGACACUGAAUAACGGGUCAGACUCCUACGGGAGGCAGCAGUCGGG